RNAcentral lists this ribosomal RNA (422 nucleotides) under Pseudomonas lutea. Its description in RNAcentral is "partial 16S rRNA". The record is from RNAcentral. Lineage: Bacteria; Pseudomonadati; Pseudomonadota; Gammaproteobacteria; Pseudomonadales; Pseudomonadaceae.
CCCUUCCUCCCAACUUAAAGUGCUUUACAAUCCGAAGACCUUCUUCACACACGCGGCAUGGCUGGAUCAGGCUUUCGCCCAUUGUCCAAUAUUCCCCACUGCUGCCUCCCGUAGGAGUCUGGACCGUGUCUCAGUUCCAGUGUGACUGAUCAUCCUCUCAGACCAGUUACGGAUCGUCGCCUUGGUGAGCCAUUACCUCACCAACUAGCUAAUCCGACCUAGGCUCAUCUGAUAGCGCAAGGCCCGAAGGUCCCCUGCUUUCUCCCGUAGGACGUAUGCGGUAUUAGCGUCCCUUUCGAGACGUUGUCCCCCACUACCAGGCAGAUUCCUAGGCAUUACUCACCCGUCCGCCGCUGAAUCAGGGAGCAAGCUCCCUUCAUCCGCUCGACUUGCAUGUGUUAGGCCUGCCGCCAGCGUUCAAU